Molecule: long non-coding RNA, 645 nt
Filed under: Equus caballus (horse)
Lineage: Eukaryota; Metazoa; Chordata; Mammalia; Perissodactyla; Equidae
Description: lncRNA (ENSECAG00000029590.3)
Source: RNAcentral
GAACAAUGCUAGUUCUGUUGUCCAGGAAUGCGUUCUCAACACAGCGAUUUCCUGAAUACCCAAGAGACUCAGGCAGUAAAAGGCUGAAGGCCAGACAACAAGGCACUGGAUCUAGGACAGGGGAAAAUGGCUGCUCCGUUUUCGAGAUCCGUCUGGGCAGCUGACUUUGCAGAUGGGAUCUACUGGUUGCAUUUCUAAGCUUGAGAGAUCAUCUUCUCUUUACCUUGAAGGUGUUGGAACCAGUGUUUAAAUUGUGAAAGAUCAUUGCUUCAAGAUGCUGGGACGGCUCUGACAACGAAGAAGGAAAGGAAAUAUUGAUAGAAAAUACCCUCUGGAUUUUUCAGACAUCAUGGAAGAUUUUUUUUCUCCACAGAAGAAAAGAACACUGACAGCAAGAAAAAUAUCUGUGUGUUCUCUAAAAUCUACCUUGUUCUUUACCCUGGAGAAGUCCUGUUGUGGUUCCACACCCUUCUGUCAAGCAGGUCCCUGAGGGGAUGCCACCCUUCUGCUGUCACCUAUAAUCCACGAGUGAUCCUCCGAAUCAUCCUUUGUGGUGACCGCCACACACAUGCAGUUUACCCAGAGAGAGACACAGCAUCUCUACAGAAUGGAGCAGAGAGAGUGGGAAACGGCAGAGAGAGAGAG